This is a long non-coding RNA of Prunus dulcis (almond), 285 nucleotides long. RefSeq lists it as uncharacterized. Lineage: Eukaryota; Viridiplantae; Streptophyta; Magnoliopsida; Rosales; Rosaceae. The transcript has 3 exons. The record is from RefSeq and is a predicted model, not a curated record.
UGAAGUCAUGGCUCAAAACUAAGCUCCUAACAUAUACCGCAAUUGUAUAUCGAAUCGUUCUAAUGCCACAAAUACGCUGCAGCAUCCAUCAUAGACCGGUCUGUAACCUCACCAACGUGAAGAACUAGUCCAACAGAGUUAGGCUCCACGGCUGUUGAAGGUCUGUCCUUGGUCUCAGGCACAAUGCCAGCCUCAUCCUGAAGCAAGAUUGAAGCAUAGUAUCCUGGCCGGGCCUCCAGCCCGGUGCCGGAGUGGGAAAAACCUCAGGUGGUGCUGGAGGCGUGG